AUUGAACGCUGGCGGCAUGCUUUACACAUGCAAGUCGAACGGCAGCGCGGGCUUCGGCCUGGCGGCGAGUGGCGAACGGGUGAGUAAUGCAUCGGAACGUGCCCAGUAGUGGGGGAUAGCCCGGCGAAAGCCGGAUUAAUACCGCAUACGACCUGAGGGUGAAAGCGGGGGACCGAAAGGCCUCGCGCUAUUGGAGCGGCCGAUGUCGGAUUAGCUAGUUGGUGGGGUAAAGGCUUACCAAGGCGACGAUCCGUAGCUGGUCUGAGAGGACGACCAGCCACACUGGGACUGAGACACGGCCCAGACUCCUACGGGAGGCAGCAGUGGGGAAUUUUGGACAAUGGGGGCAACCCUGAUCCAGCCAUGCCGCGUGCGGGAAGAAGGCCUUCGGGUUGUAAACCGCUUUUGUUCGGGAAGAAAUCCUCUGGGCUAAUACCCCGGGGGGAUGACGGUACCGAAAGAAUAAGCACCGGCUAACUACGUG
RNAcentral lists this ribosomal RNA (484 nucleotides) under uncultured bacterium. Its description in RNAcentral is "partial 16S ribosomal RNA". It matches the Rfam family "Bacterial small subunit ribosomal RNA", at positions 29 to 507 of the family's 1533-position model. The record is from RNAcentral.